RNAcentral lists this ribosomal RNA (400 nucleotides) under Stereum hirsutum. RNAcentral describes it as "LSU rRNA". It matches the Rfam family "Bacterial large subunit ribosomal RNA", at positions 1718 to 2106 of the family's 2925-position model. Lineage: Eukaryota; Fungi; Basidiomycota; Agaricomycetes; Russulales; Stereaceae. The record is from RNAcentral.
CAAAUUAUCCUCAUAAGUUUGACUAGAAGAGGGACCGCUGAGAAUAGAAUUAGCCAUAAUCUAUUCAAUAAUGCGGUGAAAUAAAAUCGGAGGCCCCGACUGUUUACUAAAAACACAAAUCAGAGCGAUGAUUAAUAUCAUAGUAUUCUGGUUGAAAUUUGCCCGAUGCCAUUUCUAUAAGAUUAAGGUAAUGAAAGUUACUAUUCGAAAACGUGGUUAAUAGCGGUCUUAACUAUGAGGAUCCUAAGGUAGCAAAAUCGAUUGGCAUUUAAAUGAUGUCCGGUAUCAAUAAUGUAACGAUGGUCUCACUGUCUCUACAACUUGCUCAGUGAAAUUGAAUUGUGAGUGCAGAUGCUCACUACCUACAGGGGGACGGGAAGACCCUAUGCAGCUUCUACUG